GCUAAAUUUACCCACUUUGUUACUCAUAUAACGUGAAAAUUCGUAUCGUGAUAAAUCACACUAAGCGAAAAAAUGGAUGACUCGGACAUUAUCCUCAAUAGUGAACACCCCUCAAUAACAGACAAAUUUCUGUUCCCAGAGUUGUCCGCUAUUGAGAGGUUUCACUAUAAUAAAAACUUCAUAAACUUCUUUAAAACAUUGAGAUUUUUAUGUUGGGCUGCAUUCAGUACAUCAGUAGGCCAUGGGUUGGACAGCUCUGAUUUAAUCCAUGUACUAAUUACCCUUAAUCAUUGAUGAUAAUUCUUUAACAUUAUACAGAAAUAAACAUUUAUAUAUUUAUACAAAAUUUAAAUUUUGC
RNAcentral lists this long non-coding RNA (358 nucleotides) under Androctonus crassicauda. Lineage: Eukaryota; Metazoa; Arthropoda; Arachnida; Scorpiones; Buthidae. The record is from RNAcentral.